UUAAAUUGAAGAGUUUGAUCAUGGCUCAGAUUGAACGCUGGCGGCAGGCCUAACACAUGCAAGUCGAACGGUAACAGGAAGCAGCUUGCUGCUUUGCUGACGAGUGGCGGACGGGUGAGUAAUGUCUGGGAAACUGCCCGAUGGAGGGGGAUAACUACUGGAAACGGUAGCUAAUACCGCAUAACGUCGCAAGACCAAAGAGGGGGACCUUCGGGCCUCUUGCCAUCGGAUGUGCCCAGAUGGGAUUAGCUAGUAGGUGGGGUAAAGGCUCACCUAGGCGACGAUCCCUAGCUGGUCUGAGAGGAUGACCAGCCACACUGGAACUGAGACACGGUCCAGACUCCUACGGGAGG
RNAcentral lists this ribosomal RNA (353 nucleotides) under Escherichia coli. Its description in RNAcentral is "bacterial SSU rRNA". It matches the Rfam family "Bacterial small subunit ribosomal RNA", at positions 1 to 348 of the family's 1533-position model. The record is from RNAcentral. Lineage: Bacteria; Pseudomonadati; Pseudomonadota; Gammaproteobacteria; Enterobacterales; Enterobacteriaceae.